GGUGUCGUGGUGUAGUAGGUUAUCAUGUUAGUCUAACACAUUAAAGAUCUCCAGUUCGAGUUUGGGCGACGCCA
Cucurbita pepo subsp. pepo (vegetable marrow) is the source of this 74-nucleotide non-coding RNA. NCBI's taxonomy places the organism in Eukaryota, Viridiplantae, Streptophyta, Magnoliopsida, Cucurbitales, Cucurbitaceae. The record is from the annotation of a RefSeq genome assembly.